This is a long non-coding RNA of Cyprinus carpio carpio, 1034 nucleotides long. NCBI's taxonomy places the organism in Eukaryota, Metazoa, Chordata, Actinopteri, Cypriniformes, Cyprinidae. The record is from Ensembl.
AUGGCCGCCACUCCAGAGUCUCGUCACAACAUGGCUGCCAGUCAGGAGCCUCUCUGCAAGAUGGCCAACACAUCAGAAUCUCCAGCCAUCAUGACCGACACAACAGAGCCUCCAGCCGUCAUGGGUGUCACACCACAGUCUUUGGGUGUGUCACCACAGUCUUCAGCCGUCAUGGAUGCCACUCCAGUGUGCCCGGUCAUCAUGAAUGUUGCAUCUGAAGACACCCAGGUGGUCCAAAGGCAUUUGAGGCUGGCUUCCAGUUUGGUGGACCCACUUCUGAUGUCAGUACAGGCUGCCAGCAUCCCCAGGUCUGUGGCCUCAGCACUCUCAAGCCUGGCCAUCUCAGUUCUCCCACCUUCCGCUGCAUUUCCAGUAAUAGUGGUUGCUAUUUUGUGAUCUGGCCAUACACACUACUUAGACGGCAGAAUCCACUACAGAACCUGCUCCAGUCCAUAAAUCUGCUCCAGUGUAUGUGUGUGUGUAUGUGUGUGUAUAUAUAUAUAUAAAUAUAUAUAUAUAUAUAUAUAUAUAUAUAUAUAUAUAUAUAUAUAUAUAUAAUAUACACACACCUGUGUUCGGUGCUUGUUUUUCAGUUGUUGUGUUCCCUGUAGAUGCUUGUGUUCCUUGUGCCCAGCUCUUGGUUCCCUGUUCUCUUGUGUUUCUGUGUUAGUCUUUUUUUUAUUUGUUAUUAAACUUCCACGUGGCUCUGCCUCAUCUCGCCUUUGCUCAGCUUCCAACAUUACACACAGAGACAGUCAGCCAUAUGCCAAAAAAAGCAUGACAAAGGCCAGAGAAAACAACAUUAAAGAGCUAUAGUUUUAAAUACAGAGGGAGGCUGGACUGAUUAUUUACUUUAAAGAUAGGACUAACUUAAAAAAAAAAUCAAAAAAAAUGUAAACAAAUUAUUUUAUUGAUUUUUUUUAGUGUUAAAGUUGCAUAAAGUCUUUUGUGUAUAAGAAUUCAGUAAAAUGUUUACAAAUCGAGGGUUGCAGAGAUACCAUUGUAAAAAAGAAAUGUAUGUAGUGUACUUCAAA